This 192-nucleotide ribosomal RNA is filed under the name uncultured bacterium. RNAcentral describes it as "partial 16S ribosomal RNA". It matches the Rfam family "Bacterial small subunit ribosomal RNA", at positions 498 to 689 of the family's 1533-position model. The record is from RNAcentral.
UAAUUCCGUGCCANCMNCCGCGGUAAUACGGGAGUGGCAAGCGUUAUCCGGAAUUAUUGGGCGUAAAGCGUCCGCAGGCGGCCNUGUAAGUCUGNNGUUAAAGCGUGGAGCUUAACUCCAUUUNAGCNAUGGAAACUACANGGCUUGAGUGUGGUAGGGGCAGAGGGAAUUCCCUGUGUUGCGGUGAUAUGC